CUUUACUGUAACUUGGAAUUGGGUUCGGGCUUUGCUUGCGCGGGAUAGGUGGGAGGCGUUGAAGCAUUCCUUGUGGGAGUGUGGAGCCAACGGUGAGAUACCACUCUGGUGAGGCUAGAAUUCUAACCCAAUGCCGUGACCCGGCUUGGGAACAGUUUCAGGCGGGCAGUUUAACUGGGGCGGUCGCCUCCUAAAAGGUAACGGAGGCGCGCAAAGGUUCUCUCAGGCUGGUUGGAAAUCAGCCGUAGAGUGUAAAGGCAUAAGAGAGCUUGACUGCGAGACGUACAGGUCGAGCAGGGUGGAAACACGGCCUUAGUGAUCCGACGGCGCUGCGUGGAAAGGCCGUCGCUAAACGGAUAAAAGUUA
RNAcentral lists this ribosomal RNA (366 nucleotides) under uncultured organism. RNAcentral describes it as "bacterial LSU rRNA". It matches the Rfam family "Bacterial large subunit ribosomal RNA", at positions 2099 to 2465 of the family's 2925-position model. The record is from RNAcentral.